CCAAGUUUAGUUGAAACUUUGUUCAGCUUCUUGAAAGCUCUUGAAAUAAUAAAAUAAUGAAGGUGCUAUUUAUUUUGGUAUUAGUUUCUGGCUUCAUGACCACUGCUUUUAGUCGUUUUGGAAAAUUCUACCCUCCCGGAAGGUGUUUGGCAUCAUCUGAAAAAUGCUUGGGAACAAUCGAAUGGGAGAGAGUUGAAAGAGAAAGAGAGGCUGAAAACCGGAAGAAUAUAGGUUAUCCAUCUUAAAAAAGUCCAUUAGACAAAAAACAGCCCAAGUUAUAGGAGAUUUUGGGGCACAACCUAAUAAGGACAUCUUAUAUGGUACUUUAGGAGUACCGAUUAUAAAAUCAUAACAGUCCGUAACUGGAUAGAAGCGUAAGCCUAACAAAUUGGUUUAAUAAUAAAUUUAUUUAGAACAAACUUUUUAUUACAUUUUCUUUAAAUAUCGCGGCCCAAUUAGAUUCAAGCUUAGUUUAAAUUUUUCUGAGUUCUUGAAAGUUCUUGGAGGGUGCUAGUUUUUUUUGGUCUUUUAUAUUUUAUCAAAUUAAUACACAUUUGGAUUACCUAAUUCAGAAUUCUACCCUUCAGGAAAGUGGUUAUGCGUUUCUGAAAAAUUCAUGAGAACUUUUAAGCUUGGGCUAAAUAUUUGAAAAGAUAAAAAUAUACUGAAACAAAAUAGAAAGUAUAAAUUUUAAAAUUCGGUUUUUAGAAACUACACGCCCUUUAAAAAGUAAUGCUUUAAGAGUACCGUAUACAACCCGUAUAGAAAUUUUACAGUCGGAAUACGAUAGUUGCGUAAGCGUAAUAAAUCAGUUAGAAAUUAAUAAAAAAAACAAAACUGUAGAAAAAAUUUACUUUAAAUAUCGUGGCCCAGAAAUACCCAAGUUUAGUUGAAACUUUGUUCAGCUUCUUGAAAGCUCUUGAAAUAAUAAAAUAAUGAAGGUGCUAUUCAUUUUGGUAUUAGUUUCUGGCUUCAUGACCACUGCUUUUAGUCGUUUUGGAGAAUUCUACCCUCUCGGAAGUUGUUUUGCAUCAUCUGAACAAUGCUUGGGAACAAUCGAAUGGGAGAGAGCUGAAAGAGAAAGAGAGGCUGAAAACCGGAAGAAGAUAGGUUAUCCAUCUUAAAAAAGUCCAUCAGACAAAAAACAGCCCAAGUUAUAGGAGAUUUUGGGGCCACAACCUAAGAAGGACAUCUUCUACUUUAGGAGAACCAAUUAUAAAAUCAUAACAGUCCGUAACUGGAUAGAAGCGUAAGCCUAACAAAUCGGUUUAAUAAUAAAUUUAUUUAAAACAAACUUCUUAUUACAUUUUCUUUAAAUAUCGCGACCCAAUUAGAUUCAAGCUUAGUUUAAAUUUUUCUGAGUUCUUGAAAGUUCUUGGAGGGUGCUAGUUUUUUUUGGUCUUUUAUAUUUUAUCAAAUUAAUACACAUUUGGAUUACCUAAUUCAGAAUUCUACCCUUCAGGAAAGUGGUUAUGCGUUUCUGAAAAAUUCAUGAGAACUUUUAAGCUUGGGCUAAAUAUUUGAAAAGAUAAAAAUAUACUGAAACAAAAUAGAAAGUAUAAAUUUUAAAAUUCGGUUUUUAGAAACUACACGCCCUUUAAAAAGUAAUGCUUUAAGAGUACCGUAUACAACCCGUAUAGAAAUUUUACAGUCGGAAUACGAUAGUUGCGUAAGCGUAAUAAAUCAGUUAGAAAUUAAUAAAAAAAAACAAAACUGUAGAAAAAAUUUACUUUAAAUAUCGUGGCCCAGAAAUACCCAAGUUUAGUUGAAACUUUGUUCAGCUUCUUGAAAGCUCUUGAAAUAAUAAAAUAAUGAAGGUGCUAUUCAUUUUGGUAUUAGUUUCUGGCUUCAUGACCACUGCUUUUAGUCGUUUUGGAGAAUUCUACCCUCUCGGAAGUUGUUUUGCAUCAUCUGAACAAUGCUUGGGAACAAUCGAAUGGGAGAGAGCUGAAAGAGAAAGAGAGGCUGAAAACCGGAAGAAGAUAGGUUAUCCAUCUUAAAAAAGUCCAUCAGACAAAAAACAGCCCAAGUUAUAGGAGAUUUUGGGGCCACAACCUAAGAAGGACAUCUUCUACUUUAGGAGUACCGAUUAUAAAAUCAUAACAGUCCGUAACUGGAUAGAAGCGUAAGCCUAACAAAUCGGUUUAAUAAUAAAUUUAUUUAAAACAAA
This is a long non-coding RNA of Drosophila bipectinata, 2170 nucleotides long. RefSeq lists it as uncharacterized. NCBI's taxonomy places the organism in Eukaryota, Metazoa, Arthropoda, Insecta, Diptera, Drosophilidae. The record is from RefSeq and is a predicted model, not a curated record.